Crotalus tigris (Tiger rattlesnake) is the source of this 2782-nucleotide long non-coding RNA. RefSeq lists it as uncharacterized. The transcript is spliced from 3 exons. NCBI's taxonomy places the organism in Eukaryota, Metazoa, Chordata, Lepidosauria, Squamata, Viperidae. The record is from RefSeq and is a predicted model, not a curated record.
AUAGCCUGUUAAUAAAUAAAGCCUGAGCCGUGCAUUCUUAUCAGGUGAGCGAGCAAAGGCUGGACUUGUAGAGAUUAUUCCUGUUGAUUUUUGCAUCCGUGAAAUGCCUCGCUGGAGCAUCUGUGAGCAUCUGUUGCUAACGCUAUUGAGUUAGCUUCCUGAAUUAACCUCAGGAAGAAGGGAGAGAGGCUGCAGCUUCUUCCUCAGGCACAUUCCUCCAAAUACAUUUUGGGGGCCGUUUUACCUUCUCCUCUAAAGAGAAAGACGGACUAUGCCGCCUUUUCUUCCCCUUGGAUCUCUCGGAAGCGGUGAUGGCUUCGUUUCUUUCGACUGAUACCGACGUGCAGCCUGGCAGUUCACCAAGACUGAAGAUGACCCAGCAAAAAUGAACACAAAGCUGCCCUCUCCAAAGGUCCCAUCCGGCACCUGAUGAACGGCUGGCUUCAUUGGCAGGGGGGUUGAGAGCCUUUCCUGUGGACCACCGCCCCCUUUUUGCACGGGCCUUGCAAAACAAGUGCAGCUUCCUGCACAGAAGGGCUGCCAUUAAUUGGAAAGGGAGCCACUCUUCUAACGAGGGGCUGCUAACAACGGCCUUUGCUCCCUGACAUGCAGAGGAUCCAUUUUGUGACUGAGGAGGCCAAAAUGGACGUGACUGGAGACCAGAAAAAAAAGAAAACUUGGCUCCAGGCAUUGAAGUGGGUAAGGUUCUGUGCCCUUUAAGGGCUCCCACGGCUGGGAGUUGCGAUCCCUGGGCACGCCGGGAAUGACUUCAAAAACCCCUGCCCCAAUUCCAGAGACUCCCUGCUGCUCAGGCAGGCCAGUUCCAGGCUGGAUGAACAGAGGGCCGGAAGCCAAUGUUAGGCAGCUCUGUGGGCAUGGAGAGAUGGGCUGGGCCCAGGGCCCUGCAACUGAGGGGCAAAGAGAUUUGGUCCAUUUUCUAAGAACCUCUUCUCCCCCUGCAUUUUAAUAGCUUGCUCCAAAGGGGGGAGCAGGAAGCUUCAGAUGGUGGAGAAUUUGCACAAGGAAAAUUUCUGGGGUGGUGGUGGUGGAAUUAAGGGUCCUUCCUCUCUCUCCAUCACCCCCUCUCUCUUUGGGUGAAACACAGACCCCUCUGAUAACACCCAGGCUGUUUUGCUUAUAUGUUAAUUCCCAGGCAGACGGGAAGAAGGCAAUUAGGAAAGCCAAUUAAACAGCUUUGUUGUUUACAACACUUGCAGUGCCAAAGCCCAAAGCCAGCUCUCUCUCUUGUCCUCCUUGAAAAGCAGCAUCCUUGCAAGAGAAAGGGAAAUGAGCAACGACAGAUGGAUUGCAGCACCCGAGAAACCCUGAACUCCGCUGGAAUUUUAAGAUUCUGCUACAGGGAAGCAAACUCGCUUAAGAUCAGAUUUCUGACAAGAAUUUCCUCCCUCCCGAGGUCUUAGGAUAACUCAAAGUAAGUGAGCAGGAUGCCAGCCGAGGCUUCAUUGCUCCAAGGAGAUGCCACCCAUUGUGAAUGCAUCUUGUGGGUAUCCUGGCUGGUGGGGAGAAUAACAAGCUCAUUAUUCUCUUAGGAAAAAAAGGAGGCAGCAAGUGUCACCCAUCUGUUUGAAGCAUCGUUUUCUAUCAGGAGUCUUGAGUUCCAAUGCCCUCUAUGUCUGCAGGACUUCAGCACCCAUCAUCCUGGCCAGAGGGAGCAGUCUGGAGCUUUAGUGGGCAUCUUUAACAAAAGCAAAUCCAAAAUGUCUCCUGUGGCUUUCUCCAGCGGGGGGGGGGGCUGAGAUAAUGCAAGGUGCAAUUCAUAAACCAGCUCCCCUAAGAUAAGAACUUGAGAUUGAAGCUUCGAUGGUUUCCAGAAUUGGGGGCCCAGCAACGAGAGCAUCACGGCCCUUUCAAAAUCGGGAGGGCCGAGUUGAAACUGUCCUGGAUUCCCCCCAACCCCGGAUGGGGGCUGCAAAUUAAGGGAGCACCCCUUCCUCCUCCAUCCAGGCCAGCAAAAGGAAGGGAUUCAAAGCCUUUCAGGAGCUGAGGUUACCCUGCUGAUACCCUGUUUGUAGGGCGCGGACCAGAAGGGGCGAAGCCAGGAAAGCCAUUCCAGUGCAGGGGACAGGAGGACCAAGUGAGAGAGACAGAGUGAACAGCGGAAGGAUGGCUAGCUAAUUAAAUGCAGUCUUUUUGAAAUCAGAUUGGCAAUUCUUCUGGACAUCAAGGUUUAAUGCACUUUGAGAGCCUCGUCCAGCCAACAAUCUAUUCUUCCCAAAAAUUAAGAACAAAAUGCUACGUUGGCCCCAAAGACAGAUGGAUCAAAUGAAACUGCUUGACAUUUACAACAUUCCAGUCCUCGUGAUUGAAAAGUUCAGCAAAUGGGCUUUCUGGAUCCUCUCUCAUCAUGUUCUUGCACAGACAGAUAUGCAUUUCUUGAGAAAGGCCUUGCUUUCCGGCUUCCCCUCCUGUUUCUGGUGCAAAGAUGCUGAAUUCUGUUUGAACUGAAGGCCGACAGUGGGGAAAAAGCAGGGCUGUUGAAGAAGACAAGCAGCCCAGCCUUGCGUAAUUUAUAUCUCCCCCUGCAUUAUCCGGACUGGCAGUGGGAGUUUUAAAAAAGCAAAAUUCGAGCACCCUCACUAUUCGCUGGUUCCGAUUUAAGCCAACCCCGUUGGAGAAAAGCAUUCAGGAAACAGGGAUCUUUUCAUUGGAGAUGACGAAAGCUACCCCUGGGACCCCAGACUCUCCCUUUGCCGCCGAUCUACCCUCCCAGGCUGGUUAAGGUCAAUCACAGGGGAGCCCGGUCAUCUAGACUUGCCUUCCC